AACGAACGCUGGCGGCAUGCCUAACACAUGCCAGUCGAACGAGACCUUCGGGUCUAGUGGCGCACGGGUGCGUAACGCGUGGGAACCUACCCUUAGGUUCGGAAUAACUCCCCGAAAGGGGUGCUAAUACCGGAUAAUGUCUUCGGACCAAAGAUUUAUCGCCUUUGGAUGGGCCCGCGUUGGAUUAGCUAGUUGGUAGGGUAAAAGCCUACCAAGGCGACGAUCCAUAGCUGGUCUGAGAGGAUGAUCAGCCACACUGGGACUGAGACACGGCCCAGACUCCUACGGGAGGCAGCAGUGGGGAAUAUUGGACAAUGGGCGAAAGCCUGAUCCAGCAAUGCCGCGUGAGUGAUGAAGGCCUUAGGGUUGUAAAGCUCUUUUACCCGGGAUGAUAAUGACAGUACCGGGAGAAUAAGCUCCGGCUAACUCCGUG
This 433-nucleotide ribosomal RNA is filed under the name uncultured bacterium. Its description in RNAcentral is "partial 16S ribosomal RNA". It matches the Rfam family "Bacterial small subunit ribosomal RNA", at positions 29 to 507 of the family's 1533-position model. The record is from RNAcentral.